Molecule: ribosomal RNA, 206 nt
Filed under: Plasmodium falciparum (malaria parasite P. falciparum)
Lineage: Eukaryota; Apicomplexa; Aconoidasida; Haemosporida; Plasmodiidae
Description: partial small subunit ribosomal RNA
Source: RNAcentral
UUAAACUUGUUUGGGAAAACCAAAUAUAUUAUAUAUUUUGCUUUGUUCAAAAUAAGGUUUUCUAAUAAAUUAUGUUUUUAUCAGAUAUGACAGAAUCUUUUUUAAAAUCUCUUCAAUAUGCUUUUAUUGCUUUUGAGAGGUUUUGUUACUUUGAGUAAAAUUAAGUGUUCAUAACAGACGGGUAGUCAUGAUUGAGUUCAUUGUGU